AGUGAACGCUGGCGGCAGGCCUAACACAUGCAAGUCGAGCGGCAGCGGGUUCCCGCGAGGGGAUGCCGGCGAGCGGCGGACGGGUGAGGAACACAUCGGAAUCUGCCUGGUUGUGGGGGAUAACGUAGGGAAACUUACGCUAAUACCGCAUGAGACCCUGAGUCGACGGACUGGGGGUGAAAGUGAGGGACCUUCGGGCCUCACGCGACCAGAUGAGCCGAUGUCGGAUUAGCUAGUUGGCGGGGUAACGGCCCGCCAAGGCGACGAUCCGUAGCUGGUCUGAGAGGAUGAUCGGCCACACUGGAACUGAGACACGGUCCAGACUCCUACGGGAGGCAGCAGUGGGGAAUCUUGCGCAAUGGGCGAAAGCCUGACGCAGCGACGCCGCGUGGGGGA
RNAcentral lists this ribosomal RNA (396 nucleotides) under uncultured bacterium. RNAcentral's name for it is "bacterial SSU rRNA". It matches the Rfam family "Bacterial small subunit ribosomal RNA", at positions 30 to 408 of the family's 1533-position model. The record is from RNAcentral.